This 466-nucleotide ribosomal RNA is filed under the name uncultured bacterium. RNAcentral's name for it is "partial 16S ribosomal RNA". It matches the Rfam family "Bacterial small subunit ribosomal RNA", at positions 28 to 507 of the family's 1533-position model. The record is from RNAcentral.
GAUGAACGCUGGCGGCGUGCUUAACACAUGCAAGUCGAACGGAAAGGCUCCUGCUUGCAGGGGUACUCGAGUGGCGAACGGGUGAGUAACACGUGGGUGAUCUGCCCUGCACUUCGGGAUAAGCCUGGGAAACUGGGUCUAAUACCGGAUAGGACGAUGGUUUGGAUGCCAUUGUGGAAAGUUUUUUCGGUGUGGGAUGAGCUCGCGGCCUAUCAGCUUGUUGGUAGGGUAAUGGCCUACCAAGGCGUCGACGGGUAGCCGGCCUGAGAGGGUGUACGGCCACAUUGGGACUGAGAUACGGCCCAGACUCCUACGGGAGGCAGCAGUGGGGAGUAUUGCACAAUGGGGGCAAGCCUGAUGCAGCGACGCCGGGUGGGGGAUGACGGCCUUCGGGUUGUAAACUCCUUUCGCUAGGGACGAAGCGCAAGUGACGGUACCUGGAGAAGAAGCACCGGCUAACUACGUG